UUACUCUGAUUUCUCAGUCUGUUUCCUAGUGCCGGUUUGAUGAUCCUGCAGUUUUCCCUGUAAAACUGAGUUAGAGCUUGAACCUCCCCAUAUAUAUGUAUGUAGUGGAGUUUGCAACUGAAGAGAAACACUGUGUUCCCAAUAAGCUAGUGAAGGACGGCUUACACACACGCUUAUCUCUCA
This is a non-coding RNA of Vicugna pacos (alpaca), 183 nucleotides long. NCBI's taxonomy places the organism in Eukaryota, Metazoa, Chordata, Mammalia, Artiodactyla, Camelidae. The record is from RefSeq and is a predicted model, not a curated record.